This is a long non-coding RNA of Oreochromis aureus, 2892 nucleotides long. Lineage: Eukaryota; Metazoa; Chordata; Actinopteri; Cichliformes; Cichlidae. The record is from Ensembl.
UGAUCACGUGACUCUGUUCCGUGCAUGGGAGACGAGCCGGACAUUUCGGGAUCGAGCGAGUAAAACUUUAUUUAAAUCUUAAAUGUAAUCUCAUGGAGUCAGAUUUUAAAAUUCAGUGAAAAUAGCAACAGACUCAGACAUGUAGACCAAACUACGUGUCGGAUCAACAGAACUCGAGAACACGGAAAUAUUUUUUGUAACUGUGUCGCUGUGCUCCACUGUGCUGUUUGUCGGAGCCUUCGUGUUUGUCUCUGCAGACCAGAAAAACAUCACAACUGAGUCUGGACAGGACGUCACUCUGACAUGUCGAGCUCCAAACAACAACAUCAGAGAUGUAGAGUGGACGAGAGCUGAAUACGGAGCUAAUUAUGUCUUUUUGUACCGGGAUGGGCGUUUUGAUCCAGCCAACCAGCAUCCAUCUUUUAAGAAUCAGGUGGAUCUGCAGGACAGACAGAUGAAGGAUGGAGACGUGUCUUUGAUUCUAACGGUGCAUUCACACCGAACGCGAUAGAGGCGAGCAAAAACGCCCCAAACGCCCCUAAUGUGACGCGUGCACAUUCGCACCUCAACGCGUGUCCAGGGAAAACCCAUCGCGCCUCAAAAUUGUAUCUUACCACGCGCGUGGAUCGGAAAUGUGGGAGGACGUUGUGCCAGAUGUGUUGUGCUGCAGAUGUCCUCUGAAUAAACACAUUAUCUUGUUAGCGGAAAGGUAUUUGUACAUCAGUGGGAAAAUAGCGGGACAGUAGGCGGGCUUGCUAGCUUUUGCACGGUUUCAUCGGGUCAGUCUGGAAAUUAAAAAGCAGAAUGAAUGAACUUACCAGGUUGCCCAAUCUCCUCACUAAUGUGCCUCCAGGUCCGUUUUAUUCCUGUCUCGGUAGAAGUAGCAACUAGCAUCAUUUAGCUCUGGAUGAUUAGCCACGGCACUGAUGAGCUUUUCCUCCAUACUGAGUGACGAAUGAAGGGUUUUGGCUGGAUCUGCCCCUUUGACCUAGUUACAGCCAAAGCACCAGGCUCCGGAUUGGUUGUCACGGCGCGAUUUGACGCCGGAGUUCAGAUUUUCCUACUCGAGCGUGUGCACAAAAUGCAACACACAAUCUGACACGCGUGGUUUCCUUCGCGAGUCACACGCGCCCCAUGCGGUACACUGACGCGCGUUUCACGGGUUUUGGCGUUUUCGCGACGCAAAUCUGCUUCCGCAUUUUCGCCAGAUGCGCAAGCGCGUGUCAUCGCGCUCUUUCCAUUGACUUUACAUGUGAACCUGACGCUCUGGCUGCCAAACAACAACAUCAGAGUUGUAAAGUGGAACAGAGCUGACCUGAGAGAUGAAUAUGUCCUUGUGUACCAGGAUGAUCAGUUAUUUUCCAGAUCACCAGCAUCCAUCUUUUAAGAACUGGGUGGAUCUGCAGGACAGACAGAUGAAGGAUGGAGACGUGUCUUUGAUUCUGAGGGAUGUGAGGACUGCUGCUGAUGGAACAUAUCAGUGUCGUGUUUUUAUAGAAGGAGCACGAACAUGGAAACUUGUCAGCAUCAUUAACCUGAAUGUUUCUCCAGGUCACACAGGAGGACACACAGAGGAUGGAUCUGUUUGGCUGAUAGUUGGCCUGAGUGUUUCUGCUGUGCUUCUUGUUAUUGCCGUUCUUGGUUUUCUGAUCUACAGAAAAAAGCAUCAGCCUUCAAAAGAGCAUCCUGCUGAUCAACACAGCAAACAGCCUCUUCAGACUUAAAACUGCAUGGACUUGUAACUAUUUCAUUCACCACAACAGCCCAUUAUCAAACAGAAACUGACAGUUCAGUUCUGUACAGUGAAAGCUUUAAAUGUUACCCUGAUACAUAACUAGCCAACAUAAGGCUUUCUGAUUAAAGGUUAAAAGCAAAGUUGUCACUAAGUAAAUAGUUUAUAGUCUGAGCUUGGAAAGAAAAGAAAAGUAUCUGGACUUCUUUAAGUUUCUUGAAGACGUUUCACCUCUCAUCCAAGAACGUUCAGUUCUAAAGAGAAAAUGGUGACGAGACACCCCGUCCCAUUUUCUUUCCAAGCUCCUUAGACUAGGUUGACCUGAGUGACUGAGAAGCUUUUUCAAGUAUUAACUUAGUGCCUUUGCCAACACCUUAGGGGGAAAUAAUGGUAAUAUGACUGAUCCAUAUGUGCACGAAGAUUAGACACUUUUUGUGUUAGCAAUGUUCCCUGGCUUUAAUUCAAAAUCUGUUUGUUGUGAGCACCUACACAUUAAACAACUCAAACAUUAUAAAUGGCUUCAAGCUCACAUUGAGGCCUUUGUAUAUUUUUUUGUAUAUAUUGAAUAUUUUAUACUUUAAAACUACCUGUUUAUUUAAGGGACAUAAACAAUACAUUACAAUUGUACCUAAUAACAUGACAGGUGAUAAAUUAACCUAGGACCUGGAGUCCACAUGGAUCUCACAUUUUGGGUUGUCUAGACCAUAAUACUAAAUUUUGCUCUACAAGGGCCUGAUAUCCUCUUCUUGGGUGAGAAGACUUGUUACUUUGGCCUUAAUGUGGAUUAUUUUGUGGUGUUUGGUGCAGUUUUCAUGUUUUGUGGGGUUGUUGGACAUUUAAGUUAUCCUACGAUGAUUCGUUUGAAUUUUCACGGGCUAUAAAUGUAUAAAGUACAGAUUUGUGUAGCUACAGUGAGAGUGAGUGUUGGUGUGGACAUCCAACUACCUGCAGAGUCUGCAGAGAAUUUACUUUACAGUGACCCAACUGUGCAGCCAGGCAGUGCACUUCAAAGAAGCCCAACAGGAAGGACUGUGUCUGCAGCAGAUUCUAAUCCCUGGCUUUGUAGCUACAUACAGAUAUAAGCUGAAUGAUGUCAACUUCUUCAUGCUCUGCUUCUCUUCAGGUUUUCUGUGUCAAUAAAGGUUUUCAUGUAAAUGUUC